UCACACCGCCCCGUCGCUCCUGAUUGAAUGGUCCGGUAAAGUGUUCGGAUCGAGGCGACGUGGGCGGUUCGCCGCCCGCGACGUAGCGAGAAGUCCACUGAACCUUAUCAUUUAGAGGAAGGAGAAGUCGUAACAAGGUUUCCGUAGGUGAACCUGCGGAAGGAUCA
RNAcentral lists this ribosomal RNA (167 nucleotides) under Pogostemon cablin (patchouli). RNAcentral's name for it is "partial 18S ribosomal RNA". It matches the Rfam family "Eukaryotic small subunit ribosomal RNA", at positions 1664 to 1828 of the family's 1831-position model. Lineage: Eukaryota; Viridiplantae; Streptophyta; Magnoliopsida; Lamiales; Lamiaceae. The record is from RNAcentral.